Molecule: ribosomal RNA, 253 nt
Filed under: uncultured bacterium
Lineage: Bacteria
Description: partial 16S ribosomal RNA
Rfam family: Bacterial small subunit ribosomal RNA
Source: RNAcentral
UACAGAGGGUGCUAGCGUUGUUCGGAAUCAUUGGGCGUAAAGGGCGUGUAGGCGGUUUGUUAAGUCAUGUGUGAAAUCUCCUUGCUCAACGGGGAGGGUGCGAAGUAGACUAGGGAGCUAGAGGUCGGUAGAGGGGGGUGGAAUUGCUGGUGUAGCGGUGAAAUGCGUAGAGAUCAGCAGGAACACCCGUGGCGAAGGCGGCCCCCUGGGCCGUACCUGACGCUGAGGCGCGAAGGCUAGGGGAGCGAACGGG